This 406-nucleotide ribosomal RNA is filed under the name Melostrachia glomerans. RNAcentral describes it as "partial 16S ribosomal RNA". It matches the Rfam family "Archaeal large subunit ribosomal RNA", at positions 1903 to 2658 of the family's 2987-position model. The record is from RNAcentral. Lineage: Eukaryota; Metazoa; Mollusca; Gastropoda; Stylommatophora; Camaenidae.
CAAAAACAUAGUCUCAUGUAUUAAUAUUAGGUGUUUUCUGCUCAAUGAUUUAAUUAAAUAGCCGCGGUACCCUGACUGUGCAAAGGUAGCAUAAUAACUUGGCUUUUAAUUAAAGUCUAGAAUGAAUGAAUAUAUGUAAGGCGGACUGUAUAUAUAAUAGUAGUUGAAAUUACUUAGGAAGUGAAAAUACUUUCAGAAAAUUAAUAGACGAGAAGACCCUUGAAAUUUAUAUUAAUUAUUUUGUUGGGGCAACAUGGGAGCAAGAAACCUCCCGUAAAUACAUGAAGUUUGUCGGUAAGUGUAAAUUACUCUAGGGAUAACAGCAUAAUACUGUGUGUGUUUGUGACCUCGAUGUUGGAUUAGGGAGCUGCAGCUUAGAAAGCAACCAGAACGCUCUGUUCGAGCM